This is a long non-coding RNA of Pygocentrus nattereri (red-bellied piranha), 158 nucleotides long. RefSeq lists it as uncharacterized. Lineage: Eukaryota; Metazoa; Chordata; Actinopteri; Characiformes; Serrasalmidae. The transcript is spliced from 3 exons. The record is from RefSeq and is a predicted model, not a curated record.
CACUAAAGAUCUGUCCUUGAUGGAUGCAGAAAUAUUCAAUCCUGAAACGGUUGAAAAAAGUCAAGGAGACAAGAUCACAACCUCAUACAGGUUUUUGUGCCCUCAUGCUGGUCACUUUCAGUGUAAAGUGACUGGUUUUGUGUUUGUGAUGGAGGGAG